UGGAAAGGAUAAUAACUCAACAAAAAUGAGAAAGAAAUGCAUUUAAAAACACACUUCAGAAAAAGACAGAAAGACCAUUUCAAUAGCCAAAUAAAUCACCUUUCUAUGUGUCAGUUUUCUUGAAGCACUCAGAGAAAAAAUGUAGAACAUCUAAAACCAGGCUUGAUCUUGAGUACAGCCACAGCAAUGAAACCAUAUGACACAAGAAUAAGAAGAAGAGGAACAAGAACUAUAAUCAGGCACAUGGCAAAUGUGGUUACCUCCAUGGCUGUGGUGUCCACACAUGCAAUCUUGAAUCUU
RNAcentral lists this long non-coding RNA (300 nucleotides) under Homo sapiens (human). RNAcentral's name for it is "HSALNT0103500". The record is from RNAcentral. Lineage: Eukaryota; Metazoa; Chordata; Mammalia; Primates; Hominidae.